Molecule: unclassified non-coding RNA, 300 nt
Organism: Dipodomys ordii (Ord's kangaroo rat)
Lineage: Eukaryota; Metazoa; Chordata; Mammalia; Rodentia; Heteromyidae
Gene: 7SK
Rfam family: 7SK RNA
About the family: 7SK was discovered as an abundant small nuclear RNA in the mid-70s but a possible function has only recently been suggested.
Source: Ensembl
GGAUGUGAGGGCGAUCUGGCUGCAACAUCACUGGUCACUAGGGUUGAUCUGGCCAUCUAGGCGUCCCCUUCCCCCCCACCGCUCCACAAGCGUCCCUCCCAAAGCUGCGCGCUUGGUCAAAGAGGAAAACCAUCCCUGAUAGAGGAGGACAGGUCUUCAGUCAGGGGUAUACGAGUAACUGCGCUCCCCUGCCAGAAACUCCAAACAAGCCCUGAAAUGGUUCAUUAUAGAUGACUGUUACCUUUUUGUAAAAGGAAGCCUUUUGAAAGGUAGAUGUCAUUCCCUGACAGAAACUUCUCU